GGUCCGUUCGUCUAGUGGCCUAGGAUGCCACCCUUUCAAGGUGGAGACACGGGUUCAAACCCCGUACGGACUG
RNAcentral lists this transfer RNA (73 nucleotides) under Anaerolineae bacterium. RNAcentral describes it as "tRNA-Glu". It matches the Rfam family "tRNA". From Rfam's summary of the family: Transfer RNA (tRNA) molecules are approximately 80 nucleotides in length. Their secondary structure includes four short double-helical elements and three loops (D, anti-codon, and T loops). The record is from RNAcentral. Lineage: Bacteria; Bacillati; Chloroflexota; Anaerolineae.